AGUGAACGCUGGCGGUAGGCCUAACACAUGCAAGUCGAACGGCAGCACAGUAAGAGCUUGCUCUUACGGGUGGCGAGUGGCGGACGGGUGAGGAAUACAUCGGAAUCUACUUUUUCGUGGGGGAUAACGUAGGGAAACUUACGCUAAUACCGCAUACGACCUACGGGUGAAAGCAGGGGAUCUUCGGACCUUGCGCGAUUGAAUGAGCCGAUGUCGGAUUAGCUAGUUGGCGGGGUAAAGGCCCACCAAGGCGACGAUCCGUAGCUGGUCUGAGAGGAUGUCGACCAACCUGGGAAGUGGGCACCGUCCCAGCCUCCGCGGGGGGGCGGCGGGGGGGAUUGUUGGAGAAGGGGCGCAAGCCUUCUCCAGCCACACGGCGGGGGGGAAGAGGGCUUUGGGGUUGUAAACCCUUUUUGUUGGGAAAAAAAACCAGCGGUUGACACCCCCGCUUUUGUGGCGGUCCCCAAAAAAGAAGCCCCGCCUACCUUCGUG
This 492-nucleotide ribosomal RNA is filed under the name uncultured bacterium. Its description in RNAcentral is "partial 16S ribosomal RNA". It matches the Rfam family "Bacterial small subunit ribosomal RNA", at positions 28 to 507 of the family's 1533-position model. The record is from RNAcentral.